RNAcentral lists this transfer RNA (72 nucleotides) under Loxodonta africana (African savanna elephant). It matches the Rfam family "tRNA". Rfam says of the family: Transfer RNA (tRNA) molecules are approximately 80 nucleotides in length. Their secondary structure includes four short double-helical elements and three loops (D, anti-codon, and T loops). The record is from Rfam by way of RNAcentral. Lineage: Eukaryota; Metazoa; Chordata; Mammalia; Proboscidea; Elephantidae.
CCUUGGGUGGUAUAAACGGUUAACACAUUUUGCUGCAAACCAAAAGGUUGAGGUUUGAGUCCACCCAAAGGC